RNAcentral lists this ribosomal RNA (415 nucleotides) under uncultured prokaryote. RNAcentral's name for it is "bacterial SSU rRNA". It matches the Rfam family "Bacterial small subunit ribosomal RNA", at positions 505 to 918 of the family's 1533-position model. The record is from RNAcentral.
GUGUCAGCCGCCGCGGUAAAACGUAGGACGCGAGCGUUAUCCGGAUUUACUGGGCGUAAAGCGCAUGCAGGCGGCCUUGUAAGUCGGAUGUGAAAUCUCCCGGCUCAACUGGGAGGCGUCAUUCGAUACUGCAAGGCUUGAGGGCAGGAGAGGGGAGUGGAAUUCCCGGUGUAGUGGUGAAAUGCGUAGAUAUCGGGAGGAACACCAGUGGCGAAGGCGGCUCCCUGGCCUGUACCUGACGCUAAGAUGCGAAAGCGUGGGGAGCGAACGGGAUUAGAAACCCCGGUAGUCCACGCCGUAAACGAUGCGGACUAGGUGUGGGAGGUAUUGACCCCUUCCGUGCCGUAGCUAACGCGUUAAGUCCGCCGCCUGGGGACUACGGCCGCAAGGCUAAAACUCAAAUGAAUUGACGGGG